CUUAAAUUGAAGAGUUUGAUCAUGGCUCAGAUUGAACGCUGGCGGCAGGCCUAACACUAGCCAGUCGAGCGGACACGAGCUAUCAGCACCUACGGGGGA
Molecule: ribosomal RNA, 99 nt
Filed under: Vibrio parahaemolyticus
Lineage: Bacteria; Pseudomonadati; Pseudomonadota; Gammaproteobacteria; Vibrionales; Vibrionaceae
Description: partial 16S ribosomal RNA
Source: RNAcentral